AAAGUUGUCCUUUCAGUAUCUGUUCUUAUCAGCUUAAUAUCUGAUACGAGUCCUAUUUGGACUCAAGAUAUUAAACUAAUUUUUGCCACUUGGCGUGUGAAGGGGCUUGCUCCUCCGGCGCCGCGGGUUGUCCCAGCGUUGCACUGAUGCCGGGUUCGGCCCGAGACCC
Molecule: small nuclear RNA, 169 nt
Filed under: Haemaphysalis longicornis (longhorned tick)
Lineage: Eukaryota; Metazoa; Arthropoda; Arachnida; Ixodida; Ixodidae
Description: U2 spliceosomal RNA
Rfam family: U2 spliceosomal RNA
About the family: U2 is a small nuclear RNA (snRNA) component of the spliceosome (involved in pre-mRNA splicing). Complementary binding between U2 snRNA (in an area lying towards the 5' end but 3' to hairpin I) and the branchpoint sequence (BPS) of the intron results the bulging out of an unpaired adenosine, on the BPS, which initiates a nucleophilic attack at the intronic 5' splice site, thus starting the first of two transesterification reactions that mediate splicing.
Source: Rfam by way of RNAcentral